RNAcentral lists this non-coding RNA (39 nucleotides) under Schistosoma bovis. The record is from RNAcentral. RNAcentral also lists the same sequence under 1 other name. Lineage: Eukaryota; Metazoa; Platyhelminthes; Trematoda; Strigeidida; Schistosomatidae.
AUCUAUCGUCCCAAAUAGGACGAAACGCGCGUCCUGGAU